This 329-nucleotide long non-coding RNA is filed under the name Pan troglodytes (chimpanzee). RNAcentral describes it as "long non-coding RNA NONPTRT015035". Lineage: Eukaryota; Metazoa; Chordata; Mammalia; Primates; Hominidae. The record is from RNAcentral.
AUGAUUGAUAUUCCUCUCAAGUUAUUUUAUACCCACUAUCUUUUUCUUAAAUAGGCUAAUUAUGUCCAUGAGACUAAGUAUAAAUAUGAGAAUUUUUUUUGUAAAAGGAAAACCCGAAAUAAGGGAGAAUUGCUGAAAUUAAAAAGAAUAAUGAAGAUACUUGAUUUCUUCAGAGUUAGGACUAGACUAUUUAUUAAUUUAAAGCUGGAAGCCGAGAUGACUUUGAAAAUAAGUAAUAAAGCAAACAGGUCAUUGAUUACCCUCUCAUAAUACAAUUUGAGAAGGCAAGAACCUGGUUUCUCAUUUAGCCAGGAGGAAGGAAGAGAUUU